GGUUCGGAGCAACACAGGGAAACUUGUGCUAAUACCGGAUAAGCCCUUACGGGGAAAGAUUUAUCGCCGAAAGAUCGGCCCGCGUCUGAUUAGCUAGUUGGUGAGGUAAUGGCUCACCAAGGCGACGAUCAGUAGCUGGUCUGAGAGGAUGAUCAGCCACAUUGGGACUGAGACACGGCCCAAACUCCUACGGGAGGCAGCAGUGGGGAAUGUUGGACAAUGGGCGCAAGCCUGAUCCAGCCAUGCCGCGUGAGUGAUGAAGGCCCUAGGGUUGUAAAGCUCUUUUGUGCGGGAAGAUAAUGACGGUACCGCAAGAAUAAGCCCCGGCUAACUUCGUG
RNAcentral lists this ribosomal RNA (338 nucleotides) under uncultured bacterium. RNAcentral's name for it is "bacterial SSU rRNA". It matches the Rfam family "Bacterial small subunit ribosomal RNA", at positions 135 to 507 of the family's 1533-position model. The record is from RNAcentral.